RNAcentral lists this unclassified non-coding RNA (348 nucleotides) under soil metagenome. RNAcentral describes it as "partial contains 5.8S ribosomal RNA, internal transcribed spacer 2, and large subunit ribosomal RNA". The stretch from base 1 to 120 matches the Rfam family "5.8S ribosomal RNA", at positions 35 to 154 of the family's 154-position model. The record is from RNAcentral.
GAUGAAGAACGUAGCGAACUGCGAUAAGUAAUGUGAAUUGCAGAAUUCAGUGAAUCAUCGAGUCUUUGAACGCACAUUGCGCCCCCUGGCAUUCCGGGGGGCAUGCCUGUCCGAGCGUCAUUGCUGCCCAUCAAGCCCGGCUUGUGUGUUGGGUCGUCGUCCCCCCCGGGGGACGGGCCCGAAAGGCAGCGGCGGCACCGUGUCCGGUCCUCGAGCGUAUGGGGCUUUGUCACCCGCUCGACUAGGGCCGGCCGGGCGCCAGCCGACGUCUCCAACCAUUUUUCUUCAGGUUGACCUCGGAUCAGGUAGGGAUACCCGCUGAACUUAAGCAUAUCAAUAAGCGGAGGA